GGCUCGGCCUCUGCCGCCUGCGCGGACGUCGUCCGGUCACCCGUGGGUGACAGCUGCGACCUGGUUGCUGCUCCCUGCAGCCACUCUGCAGAGCCAGGUCCCGAAUCUGCAAAACCGGUAGAGCAGGAUCUUGAUGGAGACCUGUAAUGAUCCAGAAACUGAAUGGACGAGAUUGACAGGUUUAGAGAAACCUUCAAAGAAGAUCCGUGAACACAUGGAAGAGGUGACCAAAGAGCUUUCUGAAAACAGAUACUUUUCACUCAACCCUCAGGACACCAGAUGCUGAAUGCACUCCUUCAUCCUCGGAACCCACACCUCAGGCCUUCAGAAGAGGGGAACUCUGGCAAGCUCCACUUACUGAACCUUCAGGACAUUAUGCUCAUGAAACACACCACUCCUGAACUGGUUUCACACAGGAUGCCACUUCAAGAAGUACCUCUGGAUUGCAGCCUCUCCUACCUCAGCAGGAAGGGUGUGUGUGUGUGUGAGUGUGAACACAGCUGUAGUCUUCACGUCUUCCGAUGAUCACCUCCUUCAGCUGGUGUGAAAGCCUCAGGCCACUGGCAGGUUUCAAGGCAUGAGAAGCUCUUGGAAUAGUUUUUAGAUGUUUCUAACAAUAUACUCUGAAGACGGUGGGGUGGGGGGGAUGCGAGAGAGGGAGAGAGAGCUCAGCUAAGGAACUGUAGGAUCCAGGACUCUGAAUCUGAAGUAGGCUCUGUGGGUUUUACAUCUUUAUGUGGCUAUAAUUCCCAAAACAUAAAAUCCAUCUCUUUAAA
Molecule: long non-coding RNA, 776 nt
Organism: Meriones unguiculatus (Mongolian gerbil)
Lineage: Eukaryota; Metazoa; Chordata; Mammalia; Rodentia; Muridae
Exons: 3
Source: RefSeq, a predicted model, not a curated record